AGUGAACGCUGGCGGUAGGCCUAACACAUGCAAGUCGAACGGCAGCACAGUAAGAGCUUGCUCUUACGGGUGGCGAGUGGCGGACGGGUGAGGAAUACAUCGGAAUCUACUUUUUCGUGGGGGAUAACGUAGGGAAACUUACGCUAAUACCGCAUACGACCUACGGGUGAAAGCAGGGGAUCUUCGGACCUUGCGCGAUUGAAUGAGCCGAUGUCGGAUUAGCUAGUUGGCGGGGUAAAGGCCCACCAAGGCGACGAUCCGUAGCUGGUCUGAGAGGAUGAUCAGCCAACCUGGAAUUGAGACACGGUCCAGCCCCCUACGGGAGGCACGAGGGGGGAAUUUGGGAAAAGGGGCGAAACCCUGUACCAGCCAACCCGGGGGGGUGAAGAAGCCCUGCGGUUUUGAAAGCCUUUUUGUGGGGAAAAAAAAGCAGCAGGUUAAACCCCCGCUGCUCGGAGGGUACCAAAAAAAAAAGCACCGGCUAAUUUCGG
RNAcentral lists this ribosomal RNA (491 nucleotides) under uncultured bacterium. Its description in RNAcentral is "partial 16S ribosomal RNA". It matches the Rfam family "Bacterial small subunit ribosomal RNA", at positions 29 to 506 of the family's 1533-position model. The record is from RNAcentral.